AUCUGACCCGAAGACUGCAACAUCACGCCAGUCUGUCAUCAAAUGUAGACAAUUCACACGAGAUACCAUAUCAACAGAGAAACAACGAUGACAGUACGUGUCGCACCAAUUAGUAAUUUUGAUCACAAACAAUACCAUCUUUCUAUUUUUAAUUCACUCAAUUAUCGUAUCACAAGCUGCAAACCAUCAUCAAUGACGCAUGGACUGGAGCCACACCACCAAUCCCAAGCACUGCUCGAGUGAUAGCACUUUCAUAGGAAAGAAACAACCAAGUUUCAACGCAGAAACGUGUCUUAAGUAGAAAAAGAAAGAAUUGGACCGCACUUUGCAAUCAGGAACUAUCAUUUCCAAACCACUUUACGAUUGGCAAAAUACACAUUGACGAUUUACAAUUCCAGAUAGAAAAAUUAACAGUAACUCUGAGGGACAGGCAAAAUUAUAAGGAAGAUGUAGCUCUCAAAAACAGUAGAUUGACUGGAAUUAAGGAAGAGCGCAUCUAUCAUUAACUGCCCUAUUUUUUCUCACAGAGAAUGUAGCAAAAGACCCCUUACAUGACCACUUAGAGGGGGUCGCGAAGUAUGACUUCGUUGUAAUGCUUCAAGGUUUGGUGUAUAAAAAUAAUUUAUUUACAUUAGAAAUCUUAAACCAUGCUAUUAAAACUUUGGCUAUGGAACUGUUGAUCGAAAUAUCCCUCCGCUGAUAACUGACGAGGAGUUGAGAGGAAACAAAAUUCGUAUGACUGGGUCUGAAAUGUUGACCUUUUGUCAAUUCUUUGGCUUGUACAUUGGGCAUUUGAACAUUGCUCUCAGGCGUAUUCUUGACAUAACUUUUUCUUCAUACUUAUAGCUUGCCGGCAUCACAUUCCGGAAAUUGUACUGGCGGCAGUGAUUGAACUAAAUUUGAAUCCAUCUGGAGGCCUUAAUAUUAAAUUGUUCCAACGGUUUCGAGAAAAUUGGCAAUCAAUGGAUUUGGCACAAUUCUCGACGGGAGUAUCUGAUGAACGCGUUAUGUUGGCUCUUGAUGGAGACGAAAUGGACUUUAUUCUUAAAGCCACUGAGCAGUUAAAGACGUUCCAGCCAAGAGACGACUACAGAGAAAUGCUAUGUUUAGUCAUCAUCUUCCUCGGAGGAGUGCCACCUUCUGGCAUACGGUUUAUGGCUCCU
Molecule: long non-coding RNA, 1163 nt
Filed under: Bemisia tabaci
Lineage: Eukaryota; Metazoa; Arthropoda; Insecta; Hemiptera; Aleyrodidae
Description: lncRNA ENSSSA1NGG008893
Source: RNAcentral